GAGGGCCCGGCAUGGCACGGGGCAUUGCCGCUAGAUGGGGCCGUUUGCCCGAGGGAGCGACCCUGAAGUACGCGGUGGGAUGUGGCUCAGCCGUCUUCAGCCCGGCUUCCACGAGCGGAACGUCACUCCUCUCCGCCCUCAGGGGGAAGAAAGGAGCACAGGCAGGCAGAGAGCCCAGCCCAGCUAACCUCCUGGCUUCUGCUGUAGAGCUCUCCAUUCCUUUUUGAAGACAGCAGCAGCAUGCGCAUCACCUCUAAAAACACAAGGUAAAUACAG
This 276-nucleotide long non-coding RNA is filed under the name Gallus gallus (chicken). RNAcentral's name for it is "long non-coding RNA NONGGAT011775". The record is from RNAcentral. Lineage: Eukaryota; Metazoa; Chordata; Aves; Galliformes; Phasianidae.